Molecule: ribosomal RNA, 4650 nt
Filed under: Triticum aestivum (bread wheat)
Lineage: Eukaryota; Viridiplantae; Streptophyta; Magnoliopsida; Poales; Poaceae
Description: partial small subunit ribosomal RNA
Source: RNAcentral
AUGUGCCACACCACUGACGCCGCCCCCGCCGCCGCCGCCAUGCCGCCCCCCUCCUCCGCUGCCCCGUGGUGGCUGGCCACCACGGCCUGCUCCCCGCCACCCUUGUCCUCCGCCUCCCUCCCCGACCGCCUCGCCUUCCUCCUCCUCUCCCCGUGCCCGCAGCGCGCGCUCCUCGCCGCCCUCGACCUCCUCUUCCUCCUCGCCGCCCUCGCCCUCUCCCUCCGCGCCCGCCUCCACCACCACUACCGCGCGCGCCAGGAUCACCAUGAGCAGGAGCCCCUGCUCGCCAAGCCGGCACGGUACCGCGGGAGGGGAUUACGCCACAGGAUCGCGCUCGGGGCCUCCUCCGCGCUCGCCGCCGCGUCGCUCCUGCUCCUCGCGCUCGCCUUCCUGCUGCUCCCCGCGCGCGGGGAUGGCGAGGACGGGGGCGACUGGGCCGCGCUCCAGCGCGCCUUCCUCGCGGCGCACCUCCUCGCGCACCUCGCCGCCGCGGGGACCGUCGCGGCGGAGAAGGCGGGGGCCGCCCCGGCGCGCGCCCACCCGCCGCACCUCCGCGCCUUCUGGCUCGCCACGGCCCUGCUCGCCGCGCUCUUCUCCGGCUCCGCGGCCGCGCGCUUCGUCGCAGGCGAGCCCGUCCUCCCCGACGACCCCAUCGCGUUCGCCGGGCUUGUCCUCUCGCUUCCUCUGCUCUACUUCGCGGUCGACGGCUCCAGCGGCCUCGCUGAAUCAGCCGCGGCGACGUCUACUACCGAGGAGGAACCAAGCGGUGCCUCUGAGGCGGCCACGUCCUACGCCACGGCGUCGUGGCUCUCGCUGGCGACCUUCAGCUGGAUCAACCCGCUCAUCACCAAGGGCUACAGGGCGGCUCUCGGCGCCCAAGACGUCCCGCAAGUGGCACCGUCCGAUACGGCCGAGGCAGCGUACGCUCUGUUCGUGUCCAACUGGCCGGCGGCCCCCGCGCCGGGGUCCAAGGCCGGGCACCCGGUGAUCACCGCGCUGCUGCGGUCCUUCUGGCCGCAGUUCCUGCUCACCGCCGCGCUGGGCGUGGCGCACCUGUCGGUCAUGUACAUCGGCCCGUCGCUCGUGGACAGGUUCGUCCAGUUCGUUCGCCGCGGCGGAGACAUGACGGACGGGCUGCGGCUGGUCGGCAUCCUCCUCGCCGGCAAGGCCGCUGAGACUCUCGCGUCGCACCACUACGAGUUCCAGGGGCAGAAGCUGGGCAUCCGCAUCCAUGCUGCUCUGCUCGCCGUGGUGUACCGCAAGUCGCUGCGGCUGUCCACGGGCGCGCGGCGAGCUCACGGCGCCGGCACCAUCGUGAACUACAUGGAGGUGGAUGCCGAGGAGGUGUCCAAUGUCACGCACGAGCUCCACAACCUGUGGCUGAUGCCGCUGCAGAUCGCCGUGGCCCUCGCCCUGCUCUACACCCACCUCGGCCCAUCCGUGCUCACCGCGGUCGCCGCGAUCGCUGUGGUCACCGUGGUCGUGGCCCUCGCCAACCGGCGCAACAUGGAGUACCAGUUCAAGUUCCUCGGCAAGCGCGAUGAGCGCAUGAAGGCCAUCACCGAGUUGCUCAACUACAUGCGCGUGAUCAAGCUGCAGGCAUGGGAGGAGACGUUUGGUUCCAAGAUUAGUGAGCUCAGGGAGGCCGAGCUUGGGUGGCUGGCCAAGUCAAUGUACUUCAUGUGCGCCAACACCAUCGUGCUCUGGAGCGGCCCGCUUGCCAUGACCGUGCUCGUGUUCGGCACCUGCGUGCUGACAGGUGUCAAGCUCGACGCUGGCAAGGUGUUCACAGCCACUGCGUUCUUUCGAAUGCUCGAUGGACCUAUGCAGAGCUUCCCGGAGGCGAUCGCCGCUGUGACACAGGCGACCGUGUCCCUUGGAAGGCUUGACAGGUACCUGCUUGAUGCAGAGCUCGCUGACACUACAGUGGAGCAUGUCCUCGACACUGAUACUGGCCCGGACCGAGUGGUCGUGGAGGUGCACGAUGGCAUGUUCGCGUGGGACGUGAGGGGCAAGAAGGAGAGUGCAAAGGAAGAAGAGGAAAAUGAUGACAGUGAAGGUGAGGAGGAUGAGAGAAUUGUGGAGGAGGCACCAGUGCUAGAGACAGUGCUGAAGGGGAUUAAUAUGAAGGUGAGGAAAGGCAAGCUUGCGGCGGUGGUUGGAAUGGUCGGGUCCGGCAAGUCGUCACUGCUGUCCUGCAUUAUGGGGGAGAUGGACAAGGUCUCAGGCAAAGUAAGGGUAUGUGGUAGCACUGCAUAUGUUGCACAGACAGCUUGGAUCCAAAAUGGGACCAUUCAAGAGAAUAUCUUAUUCGGGCAGCCAGUGGAUGCUGAAAGAUACAAAGAGGUUACACGAUCUUGCUGUCUGCAAAAGGAUUUGGAAAUGAUGGAAUUUGGUGACCAGACUGAAAUAGGAGAGAGAGGGAUCAAUCUCAGUGGCGGGCAGAAACAGCGCAUUCAGCUUGCCAGAGCAGUUUAUCAGAAUUGUGAUGUAUAUCUCCUUGAUGAUGUCUUCAGUGCUGUUGAUGCGCACACUGGUUCAUAUAUCUUUAAGGAAUGUCUAAGGGGCAUGCUCAAGGGAAAGACCAUCUUGCUUGUUACUCACCAAGUGGAUUUCUUGCAUAAUGUGGACAACAUAUUUGUCAUGAAAGAUGGUAUGAUUGCACAGUCAGGAAAGUUUGACGAGUUACUAGAAGCAGGCUCAGGUUUUUCAGCUCUUGUUGCUGCUCAUGAUAGUUCGAUGGAACUGGUGGAACACAAUCGACAAGUAGAGAAGACUGAACAUUCUCAGCCUGCAGUAGUCAGGAUCCCGUCUCUUCGCUCUAGAUCCAUUGGAAAAGGUGAGAAGGUGAUCGUUGCACCAGAAAUAGAAGCAGCUACUUCUAAGAUUAUACAAGAAGAGGAAAGAGAGAGUGGCCAAGUAAGUUGGCGUGUGUACAAGUUAUACAUGACAGAGGCUUGGGGUUGGUGGGGAGUUGUGGGCAUAUUUGGAUUAUCAUUGGUGUGGCAAGCUUCUGAUAUGGCUAGUGACUAUUGGCUGUCAUAUGAAACAUCCGGCGUCAUUCCCUUUAAUCCUUCACUGUUUAUCGGAGUGUAUGUUGCCAUAGCUGGUGUUUCAAUGGUACUUCAAGUAAUCAAGACUUUUCUUGAGACGGUCAUGGGACUUCAAACAGCUCAGAUCUUUUUCAGGAAGAUGUUUGACAGCAUUUUGCAUGCCCCAAUGUCAUUCUUUGACACCACUCCUUCAGGAAGAAUUCUUAGUCGGGCAUCAUCUGACCAAACAACGAUCGAUGUUGUGCUGGCAUUUUUCGUUGGCCUGACAAUUUCAAUGUACAUUUCAGUAUUGAGCACCAUAGUUGUUACUUGUCAGGUUGCCUGGCCAUCAGUUAUAGCUGUAAUUCCGCUUCUGCUAUUGAACAUUUGGUACAGGAAUCGCUAUCUUGCAACUUCUCGGGAGCUAACUCGACUUGAAGGAGUAACCAAGGCACCGGUUAUCGAUCACUUUACUGAGACCGUUGUAGGUGCUACAACCAUACGAUGUUUUAAGAAGGAAAAUGAAUUUUUCCAGGAGAAUUUAGAAAGAAUCAAUUCAAGUUUGCGCAUGUACUUCCACAAUUAUGCGGCAAACGAGUGGCUUGGGUUCCGCCUGGAGCUUAUUGGAACACUCGUAUUGUCAAUCACUGCUUUCCUGAUGAUCAGCUUGCCCAGCAAUUUUAUCAAGAAAGAAUUUGUUGGCAUGUCUCUUUCGUAUGGCCUUUCCCUCAAUUCUCUGGUGUACUUUGCAAUAUCGAUCAGCUGUAUGUUGGAAAACGACAUGGUUGCUGUAGAGAGGGUAAAUCAAUUCAGCACUCUUCCUUCUGAGGCAGCAUGGAGAAAAGAGGAUCAUCUUCCUCCAAAUUGGCCCACACAUGGAGAUAUUGACAUCAGCAAUCUAAAGGUUAGGUAUCGACCAAAUACACCUCUAAUUCUGAAGGGCAUUAAUGUGAGCAUUAGAGGUGGUGAAAAGAUAGGAGUUGUCGGAAGGACAGGCAGUGGAAAAUCGACUUUGAUUCAAGCACUGUUCAGGCUUGUAGAACCUGCAGAGGGGAAGAUGAUCAUUGAUGGAGUAGACCUAUGUGCAUUGGGUCUGCAUGAUCUUAGGUCCCGUUUCGGCAUAAUUCCCCAGGAGCCAGUUCUCUUUGAAGGGACGAUUCGAAGUAACAUUGAUCCUGUUGGGCAGUAUUCAGAUGCUGAAAUAUGGCUGGCUCUGGAGCGUUGCCAACUGAAAGAUGUGGUAGCUUCAAAAGCUGAAAAGCUCGAUGCUCUAGUGGCUGAUAGUGGGGAGAACUGGAGUGUAGGCCAAAGACAGCUUCUGUGCCUUGGCCGUGUGAUAUUGAAGCAGAACCAAAUCUUAUUUAUGGACGAGGCAACUGCUUCAGUUGAUUCGCAAACCGACGCCACGAUUCAGAAGAUCACACGAGAACAAUUCUCGUCAUGUACAAUUAUCAGCAUUGCACACAGGAUACCGACAGUCAUGGACUGUGAUAGAGUUUUGGUUCUGGACGCAGGUCUGGUAAAGGAAUUUGAUGCGCCAUCGAGGUUGCUCGAACAACCGGAAUCCCUCUUCGGGGCGAUGGUCCAGGAGUAUGCCGACCGCUCGUCCAACCUCUAG